ACGCUGAAGACCCGCCCACUAUGAAAGCUACUUGGCUCUUUCUCGCUUGAGUCAGUGUGUGUGAGUUCCGCGGCUGCAGCUCACAUUCGUGUCAGCAGCGAUGCAUCCGAAGACCAGUUUUGAGACAAUACUGUUAGCAUUUAUUUUUACUCUUGCGAGGUGUGCGUCUGCGGCAUGUAACGAAUGCCCUGCAAAUCAGGAAAUAACGUGUGAGAGCCUGCGCUCGUCCCAUGGAUACAUAUACACUGUGCCGCCGGAGAUCCCGUGCUCUGAAAAGUGCGAACAAGGAUGGUACUAUCAGAAUGGGACGUUUAUUGUCGACUCGACUCUGAAUGCCGGUGGAAGGAGGUUACCGGUUGUAGUGGAUGUAACUCCUCAGAAUCUGACCAUCCGUGUCUGCGACAACCUGCAGUGGCAACUUGACUGUGGCAAGUGUAGCUGUGUUAUCAAUUAUACAGUUGCAGAUUUGAAACAUUCAGCAGCACGUGACCCCCUGCCAAGAAAUAAUACACCAUGGGAUGAACAAGAUGGCAGCCAUGAUGGCAACGAUGUACCUGCCUGGGUGAUUGCUUUAAUCGUAAUCGUGGUUGUUGGAGUAUGUGCCGCCAUUUUUGGUUAUUGGAAAAAGGUGAGUGCCUUUUACAAAGUUGGGUUUAAUAUGUAAAGAUGACAUUGUCCUUCUGUCCUAUUAGAAGAAAUAAAGAACAUUUCAUUCAUGUGUGUGUGUGUGUGUGUGUGU
This 739-nucleotide long non-coding RNA is filed under the name Sinocyclocheilus grahami. Its description in RNAcentral is "lncRNA (ENSSGRG00000039798.1)". The record is from RNAcentral. Lineage: Eukaryota; Metazoa; Chordata; Actinopteri; Cypriniformes; Cyprinidae.